Molecule: ribosomal RNA, 465 nt
Filed under: Vreelandella stevensii
Lineage: Bacteria; Pseudomonadati; Pseudomonadota; Gammaproteobacteria; Oceanospirillales; Halomonadaceae
Description: partial 16S ribosomal RNA
Rfam family: Bacterial small subunit ribosomal RNA
Source: RNAcentral
CCUACGGGCGGCAGCAGUGGGGAAUAUUGGACAAUGGGCGAAAGCCUGAUCCAGCCAUGCCGCGUGUGUGAAGAAGGCCUUCGGGUUGUAAAGCACUUUCAGUGGGGAAGAAAGCCUUGGGGCUAAUACCCUCGAGGAAGGACAUCACCCACAGAAGAAGCACCGGCUAACUCCGUGCCAGCAGCCGCGGUAAUACGGAGGGUGCGAGCGUUAAUCGGAAUUACUGGGCGUAAAGCGCGCGUAGGCGGUCUGAUAAGCCGGUUGUGAAAGCCCCGGGCUCAACCUGGGAACGGCAUCCGGAACUGUCAGGCUAGAGUGCAGGAGAGGAAGGUAGAAUUCCCGGUGUAGCGGUGAAAUGCGUAGAGAUCGGGAGGAAUAACAGUGGCGAAGGCGGCCUUCUGGACUGACACUGACGCUGAGGUGCGAAAGCGUGGGUAGCAAACAGGAUUAGAUACCCUGGUAGUC